This 5974-nucleotide long non-coding RNA is filed under the name Homo sapiens (human). RNAcentral describes it as "HSALNT0333438". The record is from RNAcentral. Lineage: Eukaryota; Metazoa; Chordata; Mammalia; Primates; Hominidae.
CGAGGUUUCCAGAGCGGACCCGGAAAUGACGCCAGGGGAUGCAAACCCUUCUGCCCCUUUUUGCUACCCCUGAAGCUUACUGUUAGUGGUCGAGUUUUUCUGGAAGUGGGCUUCCGCGAUCGCGGGGACCAACGCCCUGAGCUCUUGUGCCCAAAGGGGAUCGCCAGGUUUUUUGAUGCGGAUCGAAAGGGACUGGCCCCGGAGCCUACAACCUGACGCAGGUGGACAAGGUGGAGGAGAGAGAAUUCCUUGGCAGUAGCAUUAUGAACAAAUGCAGGGCUGAGAAACAGCAUGGUGGCCUUGACUAAGUUUAUGGCGACAGCAGAUGGAGUCUUGCUCUGUCGCCCAGGCUAGAGUGCAGUGGCGCGAUCUCAGCUCACUGAAACCUCUGCCUCCCGGGUUCAAGUGAUUCUCCUGCCUCCGCCACGCGAUGCCUCUUCAUGGGUGGUGGAUGAAGAAACUGAACAGGGCCAUGAUCCUUAUCUGUAAUUUCCCGGCUACCACACUGCUUUGGUGGUCUUCCCUCGUCUCUUCCUGGGUAGAAACAACUACCUGGAGAUCCCAAUGUUCUUGUCAGUGCACUUUUCAUGGACUGCAGUGGUAAGACGAUGUGUUGGAUGCCCAAACACAAACCAAGAGCCCUCUACCUUCGCAAUUCCCGGUGCUGUGGAGCUGUCAGAGUUUUAACAUCUCAACCAAGCCACAUGGAUACUAUUUCCUCAGAAAAGACAAAAUUGAUCCAAGCAGAAGAGUGAACUCACCGAAGAGGACUCUCUACCCAUAACUGGGGAUGCCUCAGCCACUCACACUUACUCCAAGAUUAGUGUCACUGAUUAUGGAAAGAAUUGACUUCUUCCCCUGGUCUUGCUCAUUUUUCUAGAGCCCAGGACAAUAAAUGUGUUUUACGGCAGAGAAAAGUGAAGACGGGUGGAAUUGUGUGUGUUGAGAGAGAAGCAGAUAGGCAAUCUUACGCUUUGGCUCCUAGAUUAUGCAGGUGCCUCUUUUCUAUCAUCUCCAUAAAUCCUACCCUUACUGCGCUUCCUAUUCUGCAGGGGUAUUUUGUUGUCCGUAACAGAACUCCUCCUCUGUCUGUAAAGUUUAGGUUUUGAUAAAAAAUCCUCUUCCCUCCAGAAGCGUCUACUAAAAAUACAAAAAAAUUAGCUGGGUGUGGUGGCAUCCACCUGUAGUCCCAGUUACUCAGGAGACUGAGGCAGGAGAAUCGCUUGAAACUGGGAGGCGGAGGUCGCAGUGAGCCAAGAUCAUGCCACCGCACUCCAGCCUGGGUGAGAGUGAUACUCCGUCUCAAAAAACAAAUGAACAAUAAAAAACAAACAAAAAAGAAAUAAAUGUCUAGGGCUAGGUGCCAUGGCUCAUGCCUAUAAUCCCAGCACUUAGGGAGACAUAGGUGGGCAGAUCACUUGAGGUCAGGAUUUCGAGACCAGCUGGACAACAUGGCAAAACCCUGUCUCUGUUAAAAAUACAAAAAUUAGCCAGGUUUGGUGGCCCACACCCAUUGGGAGGCUGAGGCAUGAAAGUCACUUGAACCUGUGGAACCUGGGAGGUGGAGGUUGCAGGGAGCCAAGAUCAUGCCACUGCAGGUGAGCCUGGGUGACAGAGCAAGACUCUGUCUCAAAAAAAAAAAAAAAAAAAAAAAAAAGAGAGAGAAAGAAAUAAGUGUCUAGAAUAUUUUAAAGGCUAUGGAAAUAAAGCAGGAAUAUUUUCAUGAAAGGCAGCUUAUAAAGGAUGAGGAUGGUUUUCUCUUUAGGGUAAAGGAACUAAUAUUUAUUAAGCACUUACUAUUUAUCAGGCAGUAUGUGACAUACAAUGUAUGUGGGAGUGUGUGUGUGUCUUUCCUCACAAUUAUUUUAUAGAGUAGGGGUUAGUACAAUGAAGAUGUUGUAGCUUAGAGAGAGGAAGUGGCAAAACCAGAAUUGGAAAACAAGACUGUUGGGCUCCAAGGUCCAUGCACUUUUCCCCUUUAAAGGUCUUAGGUAAAGAGUAGACCCAUUUGGAUAGGCCCAAACUAACAGUCUAUCUCCAGAGUCCUUGUCCUAAAUUCUUUACCCCACUGCCUUCUGAGAGGAAGUUCAUCUUUUUACCAGGGAGUAGCCACCUUCAGAAGAAUUCUCCUGUCUAUAUAACCAAAUUAAUAGAAUCCUGGUAAAUCAACUGGAAUGUUAACUGUUCUGAUUUUCAACUGUUUUUACCUUCAUCAUUAAUACUGAAUAUGGACUGUAGGUUGGAUAACUGCUGUUCAAGGUAAGGAACUCUGAGCAGCAGCCUUGAGCUACCAAGGCAUUAAAUAGGAUUUUUGCUUAAAAAUCCUAUAUUUUUGCUUAAAAAUAUUAAAAAUAUGACUGAGUAUAUGUAUAUAUUCCCCCCACAUUCCAAAGAUAAACACUGUUAAGCAUGUAAAGCACAUUUUACUGUAUAUAUAUGGGUGGCAUAUGUGUGUGAGUGUGUGUGUGUAUACAUAUAUACACAUACACUUCUAGACAUUUAUAUACAUGUGUUGUGUGUAUAUGUUGUGUAUGUUUUUAAAAAGGGAUUGUCUUUGGCUGGGCACAGUGGCUCACGCCUGUAAUCCCAGCACUCUGGGAGGCUGAGGCAGGAGGAUUCCUUGAGCUCAGGGUUUUAAGAGCAGCCUGGCCAACAUGGCAAAACCCCAUCUCUACUAAAAAUACAAAAAUUAAAAAAAAGAAAUUUAUCUGGAUGUGGUGGCGCCACCUGUAAUCUCAGCUACUUGGGAGGCUGAGGCAGGAGAAUCGCUUGAAGCUGGGAGGCAGAGGUUGCAGUAAGCUGAGAUUGCUCCACUGCAUUCCAGCCUGGGUGACAGAGUGAGACCCCAUCUCAAAAAACAAAGUUGGGGCAGGGGGGGAUUUGCUAUCCUAUUAAAAAUUUUUGGAUCUUUUUUUUUAAAAACUUAAUGCUAUUUCUUGAACACCUUUACUUAAAGAAAAUAGAUAGCUAAAUAUUGCAGUGUGAAGAAAAAGGUCAAUAAAUAUUUGUUGAAUUAAUGUAACAUUUCCUUUGAUCACCAGCUGCUUCUAAUUCCCUACUUCAGGUAUUGUUGAAUACUACAUUGCUUUAGGCAAAAAGUGUUUUAUUUCUCACUGGAUCAAAAACAAUUAAGGAUGUCAUUUUCUCUUCUUCCUUUGAGUUCCAAUAAAUCUACAUUUGUUCUUGUUCCCUUGUUUAGAGGUGCAAUGGAAAAGAAGUUUGCAGAUUGUACUCCUGCCUGGUUGGAUAAACUCAUUUGAAAAUAAGCUCCUGUUUUGUGCAGAUGCAAAUUUAAAUGUGCUAUUUGUAACUAAUCACUGAUAAAAUAGAGAUUUCCAAAAUAUAUUGAGAAAAAGAGCUGCAGAAUAAUUUGCAAGUUUCAUAAAAUCAGGAAGAAUGCAUUUAAAAACUAAAGUAAGCUAGGAAGGAUGGCUCAUGCCAGUAAUCCUAGCACUUUUGGUGACUGAGGUGGGAGGAUCACUUGAGCCCAGGAGUUUAAGGCCAGCCUGUGCAACAUAGAUCUCAUCUCUACAAAAAAAUUAAAAAAUUAGCUAGAUAUGGUGGCAUAUACCUAUAGUUCCAGCUACUCAGGAGGCAGAGAUGGGAGGAUCACUUGAGCCUAGGAGGCUGAACCUGCAGUGAGUCAUGAUUGCACCACUGCAUUCUAGCUUGGAUGACACAGUGAGACCCUGUCUCAAAAUAAACAAAACAAAACAAAAAAGAAAAGAAAAACUAUGGUAGAAGUGGUAGGGGGAAUUGAGGGAAUGGGGGAAAGGAAAGGCCAAAGACUUUUUCUAUGCCUUUUAAUACUUUCUCAUUUUUGAACCAUCUGAAUAUAUAUGACUUGGGCAAAAAAAAUUUAAGCAAAAAAUAUUGCAUCUGUUUCUUUCAUUGUAACUAUGCUAAGUUUGGUGAAAAUUGUUCUUUAUUUUUAAAUUUUGUUUUCUCUUACACUAAACUAUUGUGAUGGUUAAUUUUAUGUGUUAAUUAGACUGGGCCAUGAUAUGCCCAGAUAUUUGGUCAAUCAAUAUUCUGAGUGUUCUGUGAGUGUAUUUUUGGAUGAGUUUGACUUAUUAAUAUUAUUGUUAAUAUUAUUUUUUAGACAGGGUCUCUCUCUCUGUCACCCAGGCUGGAGUGCAGUGGUACAAUCUUCGCUCACUGCAGCCUCAACCUCCUGGGCUCAAGUGAUCUUCUCACCUCAGCCUCCUGAGUAGCUGGGACUACAGGCAUGUGCUACCACACCUGGCCAAUUUUUCUAUUUUUUGUAGAGACAGGGUUUCACCAUGUUGCCCAAGCAGGUCUUGAACUCCUGGUCUCAAGCAAUCCCUCUACCUCUACUUUCCAAAGUGCUGGAAUUACAGGUGUAAGCCACCAUGCCUGGCUGAGUUUAACAUUUUUAAAUUUAAAUUUAAAUUUUUAUUUUUAUUUUUUUGAGACAGAGUUUCACUCUUGUUGCCCUGGCUGGAGUACAAUGGUGCAAUCUCGGCUCACCACAACGUCUGCCUCCAGGUUCAAGCGAUUCUCCUGCCUCAGCCUCCCAAGUAGCUGGGAUUACAGGCACCUGCCACCAGGCCCAGUUAAUUUUUGUAUUUUUAGUGGAGAUUGGGUUUCACCAUGUUGGCUAGGCUGGUCUCGAACUCCUGACCUCAGGUGAUCCACCUGCCUCAGCCUCCCAAAGUGUUGGGAUUACAGACAUGAGCCACCACGCCCGGCCUUAAAUUUUUAUUUAUAUUUUGAGGGGGUCUCAUUGUGUUGCCCAGACUGGAGUGCAAUGGCACGAUCAUGGCUCACUGCAAUCUCCACCUCCUAAGCUUGAUUCUCCUGCCUCUGCCUCCUGAGUAGCUGGAACCACAGGUCUGCACCACCAUACCAGGCUAAUUUUUUGUAUUUUUGGUAGAGAAGGGGUUUCACCAUAGUGCUCAGGCUGGUCUCUAACUUGUGAGCUCAAGUGAUCCGCCCACCUCGGCCUCCCAAAGUGCUGAGAUUACAGGUGUGACCCAUGGCACCUAGCCGAGUUUAACUCUUAAAUAAAUAAACUGUGCCAGGCAUGGUGGCUUGCACCUGUAAUCCCAGCAAUUCAGGACAUGGAGGUGGGAGAAUUGCUUGAACCUAGGAGUUUGAGACCAGCAUGGACAACAUAGUGAGACCUUGUCUCUAAAAAUAUAAAAUUUUAAUUAAAAAAAAACUGAAUAAAGCAGAUUACCCUCCCCAAUGUGGGUGGGCCUCAUCCCGUCAGUUGCAAGCCUGACUAGAACAAAAGCCUGGCCUCCCAGGAAGAAGAGGGAAUUCCUCCUGCCCGACUGUUUUUUAGCUGGGACAUUGGUUUUAUUUCUGCCUUUGAACUCAACCUGAAACACUGGCCGUUCCUGGAUUUUGAGCCUGCUGGCCUUCAAACUGGAUCUAUACCACUGGCUCUCCUGGGUCUCCAGCUUCCUGACUGCAGAUCUUGGGAUUUGUUGGUCUCAUAAAUAUUAUAUAUGUAUAUGUAAAAUGUUGAUUCUGUUUCUCUUUAAAAAGAAAAGACAGCUGGCCAGGCACGGUGGCUCACACCUGUAAUCCCAGCACUUUGGGAGGCUGAGGCGGGUGCAUCACCUGAGGUCAGGAGUUCGAGACCAGCCUGACCAAAAUGGAGAAACCCCGUCUCUACUAAAAAUACAAAAUUAGCUGGGCGUGGUGGCGCAUGCCUGUAAUCCCAGCUACUCAGGAGGCUGAGGCAGGAGAAUAGCUUGAACCUGGGAGGUGGAGCUUACAGUGAGCCACCGAGAUUGUGUCAUUGCACUCCAGCCUGGGCAACAAGAGCAAAUCUCCAUCUCAAAGAAAAGACAAGACAAGACACCUUUGAGGUCCUCUUCUGGUCCUCUGCACCAGAAAGCUUGGGAGAGUGGGGACAUAUUUUUCCCCCAUUGCUGCAUUCCUAGUAACUAGAUGUGUGCUGCAAAAAAAAAAAAAUAGUUUAAGGAAUGAAUUGGUAGCU